AGUGACCCCAAACCCUGCUCUGGUGUCCCCUGAGUGCCACCACCCCGGGUGACCCCAAACCUCACCCUGGUGACCCCAAAUCCUGCCCUGGUGUCCCUGGAGCGUCCCCAAUCCCGGGGAACCACAAAUCCUCAAAUGUCACCAAGCCCAGGUGACCCCAAACCCUUCUGUGGUGGCUCUGGAGUGUCCCCAAACCUCGUCCUGGUGUCCCUUCAGUGUCACCAAACCCAGGCGACCCCAAACUCCAUAACAGUCGGGAUCGGGGUCCUGGAAUUCCCUGGGAUUUGCCCCAUUUGGGGUCCCAUUCCCAACCCCAAAAACCCCCAGUGAUCCCAUGGGAUUCCCCUGUUCCCAGCUGGAAUUCCCAUGGAAACCCCAAUCCAGAGUGGGAAAUCCUCGCUCCAGGGGGAAUUCCCAAAUAUUCCCAAAUAUCCCAAAGGGGAUUCCUGAAAUUCCCAAGAAAUCCCAGGAGAUUCUGGGAAAUCCACCCCGAAGGAAUUCCCAAGGAUUUGGAGGGGCUGGAGAGGGAAAUCUGGGAUUGGGAAAAAUGGGAAUGCCAGGAUCCAAAAUCCCAGUUUGGGAUUGUGAAGAAUGGGAAAUCUGGGAUCCCAAAUCCCAGUUUGGGACUGGGAAAAAUGGGAAUUCUGGGAUCCCAAAUCCCAGUUUGGGACUGGGAAAAAUGGGAAUGCCGAGAUCCCAAAUAUCCAUGUUUUUCCCAGAAAAAUUCCAGGACCCCCAAAUCCCAAAAAUCCUUUUUUUUUUUUUUUUUUUUUUUUCCGUGGGGUUUUGGCCCUUGGAAAAGGGGGAAGAGCUCAGAAUUCCCAUUGGGAUUUGGGAUCAGCCUUUUUCCAGGAGGGAAUUUGGGAUCCUGGAUGGGAUUUUUCCCAAUUUUUUCUACCUUUGGAGCUUCCUGAUCCCAAAAAUCCCAGGAAUCCCUCUGGAAUCAGAUCCCCCCCUCCUCCAGCUGGGAUUUUUCCCAGGAAGAACCUCUGGGAAAAGGGAAAAGCUCUUCCCAAAUUCCCAUUUUUCCAUGGAUUUUUUUANNNNN
RNAcentral lists this long non-coding RNA (1048 nucleotides) under Zonotrichia albicollis (white-throated sparrow). RNAcentral's name for it is "lncRNA (ENSZALG00000003268.1)". The record is from RNAcentral. Lineage: Eukaryota; Metazoa; Chordata; Aves; Passeriformes; Passerellidae.